GCAGAGCAAAAGCUGCUUGUGUCAUGGUGUCCAGAAAGCAGAGAGCGAAGGGAAGAACUAGGAAGGGAGACAUACUCUUCCACAUCGUUGCCCCAGUGACACAAUGGUCAAUUGCAUUAUGUUGGAAGGGAAGUGAGAGAGCACACCUGGAGCAGCAUCCUGCCUCACAUGAGAGAGUUGAUCAGGAGAGACAGCAAACCUGAGAUGGAAGGGUGGCAUCUUGCCCUAAAGAGAGCACAACAUUGGGAAGCAGCGAAGAGAAUGACUAACCAACCUGAUCCUGGACAAAAACAAGACUAAGGGAGAGAAAGGAGCAAACAUAAGGUUCAACAGCUCACUUAAACCCUUGCCUUGUGGCCCAUUUAUCAACAGGAGCAAGGAUUUGGCUUGACUUGAGAGGUAAUCAUAGUCUGGGGGCUGGGGAACAAACAGAAGAGCUGCUAGUGCAAAGAGGGCACCUCAAAGACCCAUCAGUCCUAAAGCUAAGCAUAAAAAAUCAUGUCUGGAUGGAUCCCAACAUUGAAGAUCAUGGAAAGAACCACUUAUUCAAUAACAUGGUGAUGUUUUUGACUCAAUUUUUUAAACAUUUUC
RNAcentral lists this long non-coding RNA (591 nucleotides) under Chinchilla lanigera (long-tailed chinchilla). RNAcentral describes it as "lncRNA (ENSCLAG00000026597.1)". The record is from RNAcentral. Lineage: Eukaryota; Metazoa; Chordata; Mammalia; Rodentia; Chinchillidae.